This 1200-nucleotide ribosomal RNA is filed under the name Bacillus licheniformis. RNAcentral's name for it is "bacterial SSU rRNA". It matches the Rfam family "Bacterial small subunit ribosomal RNA", at positions 21 to 1219 of the family's 1533-position model. Lineage: Bacteria; Bacillati; Bacillota; Bacilli; Caryophanales; Bacillaceae. The record is from RNAcentral.
GGCUCAGGACGAACGCUGGCGGCGUGCCUAAUACAUGCAAGUCGAGCGGACAGAUGGGAGCUUGCUCCCUGAUGUCAGCGGCGGACGGGUGAGUAACAAGGGGGUAACCUGCCUGGAAGGCUGGGAAAACUUCGGGAAACCGGGGGUAAUUCCGGAAGGUUGAAUGAACCGCCAGGUUCAAUUAUUAAAAGGGGGUUUUAGCUACCACUUACAGAUGGACCCGCGGCGCAUUAGCUAGUUGGUGAGGUAACGGCUCACCAAGGCAACGAUGCGUAGCCGACCUGAGAGGGUGAUCGGCCACACUGGGACUGAGACACGGCCCAGACUCCUACGGGAGGCAGCAGUAGGGAAUCUUCCGCAAUGGACGAAAGUCUGACGGAGCAACGCCGCGUGAGUGAUGAAGGUUUUCGGAUCGUAAAACUCUGUUGUUAGGGAAGAACAAGUACCGUUCGAAUAGGGCGGUACCUUGACGGUACCUAACCAGAAAGCCACGGCUAACUACGUGCCAGCAGCCGCGGUAAUACGUAGGUGGCAAGCGUUGUCCGGAAUUAUUGGGCGUAAAGCGCGCGCAGGCGGUUUCUUAAGUCUGAUGUGAAAGCCCCCGGCUCAACCGGGGAGGGUCAUUGGAAACUGGGGAACUUGAGUGCAGAAGAGGAGAGUGGAAUUCCACGUGUAGCGGUGAAAUGCGUAGAGAUGUGGAGGAACACCAGUGGCGAAGGCGACUCUCUGGUCUGUAACUGACGCUGAGGCGCGAAAGCGUGGGGAGCGAACAGGAUUAGAUACCCUGGUAGUCCACGCCGUAAACGAUGAGUGCUAAGUGUUAGAGGGUUUCCGCCCUUUAGUGCUGCAGCAAACGCAUUAAGCACUCCGCCUGGGGAGUACGGUCGCAAGACUGAAACUCAAAGGAAUUGACGGGGGCCCGCACAAGCGGUGGAGCAUGUGGUUUAAUUCGAAGCAACGCGAAGAACCUUACCAGGUCUUGACAUCCUCUGACCACCCUAGAGAUAGGGCUUCCCCUUCGGGGCAGAGUGACGGUGGUGCAUGGUUGUCGUCGCUCGUGUCGUGAGAUGUUGGGUUAGUCCCGCACGAGCGCACCCUUGAUCUUAGUUGCCACAUUCGUUGGGCACUCUAGGUGACUGCCGGGACAACCGGAGGAAGGGGGAUGACGUCAAUCAUCAUGCCCUUAUGACUGGGCUCCAC